Molecule: long non-coding RNA, 1265 nt
Filed under: Chrysemys picta bellii (western painted turtle)
Lineage: Eukaryota; Metazoa; Chordata; Testudines; Emydidae
Description: lncRNA (ENSCPBG00000024822.1)
Source: RNAcentral
CUCCUGUAAUCGGCUCUUGAGAGAGCAGAGUAAAAAACCUGUGAUGCUUAUGGCAGCUCCACGCCCAGAAUAUUGCCCAUUCUGUGCACACAGAGGCGCAGAAAAGAAGAGCCACGCUGCGCUGGGUAGAUCCCAGAGCAGAAUUUUGCCAGUUGUUCCCUGUGGAGAGCAAAGUAUCAGCCACGGUGCACGGGGAGAGCAGAAUUGUGCCCGUUUCAUGCACAUGCUGCAGAAUAUUGGAGUAGAGAUGUGCAAGCUUCUCUAAGGUCCUGUCUUCAAUGAAGAAGUGAAGGGGCAAUCUCCUCCAACUGCCUCAGGAAUGUGGCCUUCCUCACAUGGAUGUUCUGAAGCCACUGCUGAUUUCUCCCACUUCUGCAUGAUGUAAUCCCACCACUCUUUGCUUGUGGUCCUACUCCACAGCUUCUGGUCAAUGUAGGGGGAUCCCACAGCUAUUGAACCUGCAUUAGCUGUCUCCACUUCUCCAUGUCUGCAUGCAUCCUGCAGAAUCCUCUUAGCAAGGUAUGUCACUGCCUUCUCAGAACAGACCAGUGCCAAAAUGGCCUCCACUGUGUGUCGUGACCUGCAUUGACCUAAUGUUUCUGAAAUAAGAAUUGCAUUAAUGCCAACUGCUGGAACAGGUCAUCCUUCUGAGUUGGAUCCAGGCCUUGCCACUGGCUGGAACAGAGGCUGAAACCAAGAAUCUAGACUGUGCCAAUCCAGAAAGAGUUUACUUUACUGCCCUGGUGGGCUAAGAGCACAUCCACACAGGGGCCCAGAAAGGACAGACAAGUUGUCCCAUGACACACGGCAAAAUAAUUCAGAUUGGCAGAGUUUAUUGUAGCGCUAGGAAUGAUGGUAUGUGCCCCCAGAAGUCCUAGCACCUUACAUAAAUACGGAUGCGCUCAAGUAUGGCUUUGCACUUUGGCUGUCCACACCCAAGUUAGGCUGACCCAGGUCUCCCAUAUGGGUGUCAAUCAUACAAGUUCCCUGAAGUUACAACAUACCCUAAUGGCCUACUCCAAAACCCAUGCAAACAAUUUAAAGAUCUCUCAUGGUUUUUAGUGGGCUGUGGAUCAUGCCCUAAAGUGUUGUAGGUCUGAUUCUAAUCUCAUAUUGGUAUAAAAAUCAGGAAUAACUUGGUCACCAGAGUUACACUAAUGAAAAACGGGUGUAAAAUCAGAAUCAGGCCUCUGUAUCUUUUGCUAAAAUGCUCUUUGACUUCUUAUAAUAGUGCUUAUUGAAUCAUAAAAGACAGUUACUCACCG